GCUUCAGUUCCCCGCCUGCUCCACCCUGGUGGGCUUCAGCUCCACCUGCUCCGCUGUGGUGGGCUUCAGAUCUGCCUGUUCCGCCCUGGUGGGCUUACACUCAACCCUGGUCCCAUGAUCUACCUCAGGAUCCAGGUCCUCUUCCCCUACAUGGGCCUGGCCCGCCGUCCUUCCCCCCUAGUCUGCCUCCAUUCCGCCUCCCUCCUGGAUUCCUUUGACAUUUGGUGGAGCAUCUGGAAUCUGCUUCUUAAGGGAGGGGUUAUGUCACAGUUUGCCAAUGGAGUGCCCAAGACGGCCACCAGAGGGCACUCUUGUGGUUUGUGUGUCUGCAGUCCUGUCUUGAUCAGUUGUUAUAUGCCAGAAGUACUUGUUGUAUGUGCCUUCUGCUCUACUCUGCUUUGCUGUGCCUUGUUCCUGGCCUGCCUACCUUCCUGCCUGCCUGUUCCUAAAACCCCCUAUAUAAAAAAAAAAAUACCUAUUCUUCUACUGCAUUUGAGUCCUCACCUCAUCUCUUUUUUGGUACCGUG
Long non-coding RNA from Cyprinus carpio (common carp), 527 nucleotides. RefSeq lists it as uncharacterized. The record is from RefSeq and is a predicted model, not a curated record. The transcript is spliced from 2 exons. Lineage: Eukaryota; Metazoa; Chordata; Actinopteri; Cypriniformes; Cyprinidae.